Molecule: ribosomal RNA, 396 nt
Filed under: uncultured bacterium
Lineage: Bacteria
Description: partial 16S ribosomal RNA
Rfam family: Bacterial small subunit ribosomal RNA
Source: RNAcentral
AAUAUUGCACAAUGGGGGAAACCCUGAUGCAGCAACGCCGCGUGGAGGACGAAGGUUUUCGGAUUGUAAACUCCUGUCAUUUGGGAAGAUAAUGACGGUACCAAAUGAGGAAGCCACGGCUAACUACGUGCCAGCAGCCGCGGUAACACGUAGGUGGCAAGCGUUGUCCGGAAUUACUGGGCGUAAAGGGCGUGUAGGCGGCCAUUCAAGUCAGCUGUGAAAUCCCAAGGCUUAACCUUGGGCUUGCAGUUGAAACUGAGUGGCUUGAGUGUCGGAGAGGAAAGCGGAAUUCCUAGUGUAGCGGUGAAAUGCGUAGAUAUUAGGAGGAACACCAGUGGCGAAGGCGGCUUUCUGGACGAUAAUUGACGCUGAGGCGCGAAAGCGUGGGGAGCAAAC